Long non-coding RNA from Lathyrus oleraceus (garden pea), 284 nucleotides. RefSeq lists it as uncharacterized. The transcript has 3 exons. The record is from RefSeq and is a predicted model, not a curated record. NCBI's taxonomy places the organism in Eukaryota, Viridiplantae, Streptophyta, Magnoliopsida, Fabales, Fabaceae.
GGGUUUUCGUUAAAGUUGUGAAGGUCGGUGAGAAGGGGAAUGCGGCGGAUUUGUGGUUGGAGAGGGAGAUGAUGAGUGGAGAGGUUGGUUGGUUGGUUUUGGUUUCGGAUGAUCGGGAAUUUGCGGAGAUGUUGAGGAAGGUUAGGGAGGUCAAUUUGAAGACUGUUGUUGUUGGAGAUUAUUGGGAUAGGGAUUUGGGGAAGAAUGCUGAUUUGUGGCUUCCUUGGAAUGUUGUUGAGAAUGGAAAGCUUGAGGGAAUGGGUUUAAUGGGAAGAACAGAGGGU